RNAcentral lists this ribosomal RNA (491 nucleotides) under uncultured bacterium. Its description in RNAcentral is "partial 16S ribosomal RNA". It matches the Rfam family "Bacterial small subunit ribosomal RNA", at positions 29 to 506 of the family's 1533-position model. The record is from RNAcentral.
AGUGAACGCUGGCGGUAGGCCUAACACAUGCCAGUCGAACGGCAGCACAGUAAGAGCUUGCUCUUACGGGUGGCGAGUGGCGGACGGGUGAGGAAUACAUCGGAAUCUACUUUUUCAUGGGGGAUAACGUAGGGAAACUUACGCUAAUACCGCAUACGACCUACGGGUGAAAGCAGGGGAUCUUCGGACCUUGCGCGAUUGAAUGAGCCGAUGUCGGAUUAGCUAGUUGGCGGGGUAAAGGCCCACCAAGGCGACGAUCCGUAGCUGGUCUGAGAGGAUGAUCAGCCACACUGGAACUGAGACACGGUCCAGACUCCUACGGGAGGCAGCAGUGGGGAAUAUUGGACAAUGGGCGCAAGCCUGAUCCAGCCAUACCGCGUGGGUGAAGAAGGCCUUCGGGUUGUAAAGCCCUUUUGUUGGGAAAGAAAAGCAGCAGGUUAAUACCCCGCUGUUCUGACGGUACCCAAAGAAUAAGCACCGGCUAACUUCGU